AAGGCUGAGCUGUGAUGGCGAGGGAAAUUAUAGUACCGAAGUUCCUGAUCCUACACUGCCAAGAAAAGCCUCUAGCGAGGUGACUGGUGCCCGUACCGCAAACCGACACAGGUAGGCGGGAAGAGAAUUCUAAGACGCGCGGGAGAACUCUCGUUAAGGAACUCGGCAAAAUGACCCCGUAACUUCGGGAGAAGGGGUGCUCUAUUAGGGUGCAAGCCCGAGAGAGCCGCAGUGAAUAGGCCCAAACGACUGUUUAUCAAAAACACAGGUCUCUGCUAAGCCGCAAGGCGACGUAUAGGGGCUGACACCUGCCCGGUGCUGGAAGGUUAAGAGGAGGGGUUAUCCUUCGGGAGAAGCUCUGAAUUGAAGCCCCAGUAAACGGCGGCCGUAACUAUAACGGUCCUAAGGUAGCGAAAUUCCUUGUCGGGUAAGUUCCGACCCGCACGAAAGGUGCAACGAUUUGGGCACUGUCUCAACGAGAGACCCGGUGAAAUUAUAUUACCUGUGAAGAUGCAGGUUACCUGCGACAGGACGGAAAGACCCCAUGGAGCUUUACUGUAGCUUGAUAUUGGAUUUUGGUACAGCUUGUACAGGAUAGGUAGGAGCCUUGGAAGCCGGAGCGCUAGCUUCGGUGGAGGCGUUGGUGGGAUACUACCCUGGCUGUACUGGAAUUCUAACCUCGAACCGUGAUCCGGUUCAGGGACAGUGUCAGGUGGGCAGUUUGACUGGGGCGGUCGCCUCCUAAAAAGUAACGGAGGCGCCCAAAGGUUCCCUCAGAAUGGUUGGAAAUCAUUCGCAGAGUGCAAAGGCAUAAGGGAGCUUGACUGCGAGACAUACAGGUCGAGCAGGGACGAAAGUCGGGCUUAGUGAUCCGGCGGCACCGUAUGGAAGGGCCGUCGCUCAACGGAUAAAAGCUACCCUGGGGAUAACAGGCUAAUCUCCCCCAAGAGUCCACAUCGACGGGGAGGUUUGGCACCUCGAUGUCGGCUCGUCGCAUCCUGGGGCUGAAGUAGGUCCCAAGGGUUGGGCUGUUCGCCCAUUAAAGCGGCACGCGAGCUGGGUUCAGAACGUCGUGAGACAGUUCGGUCCCUAUCCGUCGCAGGCGUAGGAAAUUUGAGAGGAGCUGUCCUUAGUACGAGAGGACCGGGAUGGACACACCGCUGGUGUACCAGUUGUUCCGCCAGGAGCAUCGCUGGGUAGCUACGUGUGGAAGGGAUAAGUGCUGAAAGCAUCUAAGCAUGAAGCCCCCCUCAAGAUGAGAUUUCCCAUCACGUAAGUGAGUAAGAUCCCUCAGAGAAGAUGAGGUUGAUAGGUCUCGUGUGGACGCAUGGUGACAUGUGAAGCUGAGAGAUACUAAUCGAUCGAGGGCUUAACCA
RNAcentral lists this ribosomal RNA (1376 nucleotides) under Evansella tamaricis. RNAcentral describes it as "Bacillus tamaricis partial 23S ribosomal RNA". It matches the Rfam family "Bacterial large subunit ribosomal RNA", at positions 1552 to 2925 of the family's 2925-position model. The record is from RNAcentral. Lineage: Bacteria; Bacillati; Bacillota; Bacilli; Caryophanales; Bacillaceae.